CCUACGGGAGGCAGCAGUGGGGAAUAUUGGACAAUGGGGGGAACCCUGAUCCAGUGACGCCGCGUGAGUGAAGAAGUAUUUCGGUAUGUAAAGCUCUAUCAGCAGGGAAGAAAGAAAUGACGGUACCUGACUAAGAAGCCCCGGCUAACUACGUGCCAGCAGCCGCGGUAAUACGUAGGGGGCAAGCGUUAUCCGGAUUUACUGGGUGUAAAGGGAGCGUAGAGGGCGAUGGAAGUCUGAAGGGAAAGGCGGGGGCCCAACCCCCGGACUGCUUUGGAAACUGUAUGGCUGGGGUGCGGGAGAGGGAAGUGUAAUUCCUAGGGUAGCGGUGAAAGGGGCAGAUAUUAGGAGGAACACCAGUGGCGAGGCGGCUUACUGGACUGUAACUGACGUUGAGGCGCGAAAGCGUGGGGAGCAAACAGGAUUAGAUACCCCAGUAGUC
This 442-nucleotide ribosomal RNA is filed under the name uncultured bacterium. RNAcentral describes it as "partial 16S ribosomal RNA". It matches the Rfam family "Bacterial small subunit ribosomal RNA", at positions 338 to 795 of the family's 1533-position model. The record is from RNAcentral.